GAUGAACGCUAGCGAUAGGCUUAACACAUGCAAGUCGAGGGGCAGCAUGGUCUUAGCUUGCUAAGACUGAUGGCGACCGGCGCACGGGUGCGUAACGCGUAUGCAGCUUGCCUCACAGAGGGGGAUAACCCGUCGAAAGACGGACUAAUACCGCGUACACUUGGGAUAGGGCAUCCUGACCCAAGGAAAUGAAAUUCGCUGUGAGAUAGGCAUGCGUCCCAUUAGCUAGUUGGUGAGGUAACGGCUCACCAAGGCGACGAUGGGUAGGGGAACUGAGAGGGUGAACCCCCACACUGGUACUGAGACACGGACCAGACUCCUACGGGAGGCAGCAGUGAGGAAUAUUGGUCAAUGGGCGAGAGCCUGAACCAGCCAAGUCGCGUGAAGGAUGACUGUCUUAUGGAUUGUAAACUUCUUUUAUACGGGAAUAACAAGAGCCACGUGUGGCUCCCUGCAUGUACCGUAUGAAUAAGCAUCGGCUAACUCCGUG
Molecule: ribosomal RNA, 490 nt
Filed under: uncultured bacterium
Lineage: Bacteria
Description: partial 16S ribosomal RNA
Rfam family: Bacterial small subunit ribosomal RNA
Source: RNAcentral